Molecule: non-coding RNA, 573 nt
Organism: Hippopotamus amphibius kiboko
Lineage: Eukaryota; Metazoa; Chordata; Mammalia; Artiodactyla; Hippopotamidae
Source: the annotation of a RefSeq genome assembly
AUGGGCUCCUCCACCCGGGCAGGAUGCAUAGCCAUGCUGGGCCGCCUGGCCCUCCUGUGGGUCCUCCUGGUUCCCAGCGCCCAGCAGGAGAUCAGGCUGACACAGCGGCCCGUGACGGUGGCAUACACAGGUGGCUCUAUAGCCCUGCCCUGCCAGGCCAGCACAUCGGUCAGCUAUGUCCACUGGUACCGCCAGCUGGAGGGUCAGGGCCCUGAGAGGAUCCUCUAUCUGGACAUGUCCACACGGAGUGUGCAGCGGGAUUCAGUCCUGCAAGCAGAUAAAGUCAACGCAAAUGUGAACAAGGAUGGCAGAAGCUGCUACCUGUCAUUGAUGAAGGUGGGGAAGAGCGAUGAGGGCCUGUACUACUGUGUCACCUGGGACUCGGCACAGCCCCACACACAGCCCAGGUCCCUGCACAAAAAGCACUGGGACCCACUGAUCGCCCAGACCUGGCAACUGCCACCACCUCUGAGUCCUUUGGGUUGCCUUGGGGUCAUCCCUCAGUAUCCUGGCCCUCUGGGACUGCCCCAUUCUGGGUCCUCUGCAGAUAAAAUCAGAUGGGGCUGGAGCUGA